GAUGAACGCUGGCGGCGUGCCUAAUACAUGCAAGUCGAGCGAACAGACGCGGAGCUUGCUCCUCUGACGUUAGCGGCGGACGUGUGAGUAACACGUGGAUAACCUACCUAUAUGACUGGGAUAACUUCGGGACACCGGAGCUAAUACCGGAUAAUCUAUUGCACCGCAUUGUUCAAUAGUGAAAGACGGUUUUGCUGUCACUUCUAGCUGGAUCCGCGCCGCAUUAGCUAGUUGGUAAGGUAACGGCUUACCAAGGCAACGGUGCGUAGCCGACCUGAGAGGGUGGUCGGCCACACUGGAGGUGAGACACGGUCCAGACUCCUACGGGAGGCAGCAGAAGGGAAUCUGCGGCAAAGGGGGAAAGAAUGAAGGAGCAACGGCGCAUGAGUGAUGAAGGACUUCGGAUCGUAAAACUAUGUUAUUAGGGAAGAAAAAAGGUGUAAGUAACGAUGCACGUCGUGACGGUACAUAAUCAAAAAGACACGGCUAAAUACAUG
This 497-nucleotide ribosomal RNA is filed under the name uncultured bacterium. RNAcentral describes it as "partial 16S ribosomal RNA". It matches the Rfam family "Bacterial small subunit ribosomal RNA", at positions 28 to 507 of the family's 1533-position model. The record is from RNAcentral.